RNAcentral lists this unclassified non-coding RNA (287 nucleotides) under uncultured bacterium. RNAcentral describes it as "contains 16S-23S intergenic spacer region". The record is from RNAcentral.
CGUGCGGAUGUAAAUGUGUGCCGGCAUGUGGACCAGGUGGCCCGCACCGGGCAUGGCGUCCGCCAGUCGCUCGGCGCAAUCGACCGCCUUCUCCGGCUGGGCCGCUUCGACGGCAUGAAUGUAGAAGUGGCAGGCGCCGGGGUGGUCUGGAUUGCGCUCGAUCGUGCCUUCAAGCCUCGACAGGAUCUCACGUGUGCCCGGCUCGGGUUCACCAUCGAGCGUCCAGUAUGCCCAUGGACGCAGGUUCAUUAUCGCCUCGGCAUGAAGUGUCGCGGCUUCAAGGUCGU